UGGGGCUGUAGUCGGUCCCAAGGGUAUGGCUGUUCGCCAUUUAAAGUGGUACGUGAGCUGGGUUUAAAACGUCGUGAGACAGUUUGGUCCCUAUCUGCAGUGGGCGUUGGAAGUUUGACGGGGGCUGCUCCUAGUACGAGAGGACCGGAGUGGACGAACCUCUGGUGUACCGGUUGUAACGCCAGUUGCAUAGCCGGGUAGCUAAGUUCGGAAGAGAUAAGCGCUGAAAGCAUCUAAGCGCGAAACUCGCCUGAAGAUGAGACUUCCCUUGUGGUUUAACCACACUAAAGAGUCGUUCGAGACCAGGACGUUGAUAGGUGGGGUGUGGAAGCGCGGUAACGCGUGAAGCUAACCCAUACUAAUUGCUCGUGAGGCUUGACUCU
This 383-nucleotide ribosomal RNA is filed under the name Salmonella enterica. Its description in RNAcentral is "partial 23S ribosomal RNA". It matches the Rfam family "Bacterial large subunit ribosomal RNA", at positions 2548 to 2925 of the family's 2925-position model. The record is from RNAcentral. Lineage: Bacteria; Pseudomonadati; Pseudomonadota; Gammaproteobacteria; Enterobacterales; Enterobacteriaceae.